RNAcentral lists this ribosomal RNA (443 nucleotides) under uncultured bacterium. RNAcentral describes it as "partial 16S ribosomal RNA". It matches the Rfam family "Bacterial small subunit ribosomal RNA", at positions 338 to 795 of the family's 1533-position model. The record is from RNAcentral.
CCUACGGGAGGCAGCAGUGGGGAAUAUUGGGCAAUGGGCGCAAGCCUGACCCAGCAACGCCGCGUGAAGGAAGAAGGCUUUCGGGUUGUAAACUUCUUUUCUCAGGGACGAAGAAAGUGACGGUACCUGAGGAAUAAGCCACGGCUAACUACGUGCCAGCAGCCGCGGGAAUACGUAGGUGGCAAGCGUUAACCGGAUUUAAUGGGUUUAAAGGGCGUGGAGGCGGGAAAGCAAGUCAGAUGUGAAAACCACGGGCUCAACCUGUGGCCUGCAUUUGAAACUGUUUUUCUUGAGUACUGGAGAGGCAGACGGAAUUCCUAGUGUAGCGGUGAAAUGCGUAGAUAUUAGGAGGAACACCAGUGGCGAAGGCGGUCUGCUGGACAGCAACUGACGCUGAGGCGCGAAAGCGUGGGGAGCAAACAGGAUUAGAUACCCGGGUAGUC